AAGGUAGCUUAAUAAUUUGAAUUUUAAUUGAAUUCUAGAAAUGAAUGAAAAUUAUUCUUAUUUUUUAUUUUUAUUAAAUUAAUAAAAUUAAAAUAGUAAAUUAAAAUUUUUACUUAAAUAAAAAAAAAGAAAAGACCCUGAAAAUUAAAUUUUAAUUGGGACAAUUUUUAUAAUAUAGUACUUUAAAAGUAUUAAAAAAUUACUUCAGGGAUAACAGAGUGCUCAAUAAUAUUUAUUUGAAUGCUACAUCGAUGUUGUAUUAUAAUUAAUUUAAUUAGAAGUUAAUUAAAAAAUUAAGAUUGUUCAUCUUUUUGAAUUAU
This 320-nucleotide ribosomal RNA is filed under the name Adoncholaimus thalassophygas. RNAcentral describes it as "partial large subunit ribosomal RNA". Lineage: Eukaryota; Metazoa; Nematoda; Enoplea; Enoplida; Enoplidae. The record is from RNAcentral.